Molecule: long non-coding RNA, 10107 nt
Filed under: Lactuca sativa (garden lettuce)
Lineage: Eukaryota; Viridiplantae; Streptophyta; Magnoliopsida; Asterales; Asteraceae
Description: long non-coding RNA (LSAT_LNC006666)
Source: RNAcentral
GGCGUUCUUUUCACGUACGAUCAUGGUUCAAAGACAUUUAAUCAUAGAAGGAAAUUAAGUAGAACUUAUUUAUACAUUUUAUUAUGAAAGUAACUUUUUAUUAUUCAGAAGUGGUUACAAUACUUGACCCAUUUUGGUCAUUACAAAGAGUUGAAAUAUCGGGUUGUCACAUCAUCCCCCCGUUAGAGAGAAUUUCGUCCCGAAAUUUAAAGUAGUAAAGAUACUAGUGAACAUGAAAGAGAUGAGGGUACUUUUGUUUCAUCUGAUCUUCGCGUUCCCAUGUGAAUUCAGGUCCCCGCUUGGCGUUCCAGCGAACCUUCACGAUGGGUAUGCGACUUUGUUUUGUUUGUUUGACCUCUCGGUCCAUGAUUUCUACUGGUUCUUCCACAAAGUUGAGGCUCUCGUUGAUCUCGAUCUCGUCGAGUGGAAUAACAAGAGUCUCAUCGGACAGACACUUUUUCAAGUUUGAGACGUGGAAGGUUGGAUGUAUGUUACUAAGUUCACGCGGUAGGUUAAGCUUGUAAGCCACAGGGCCGAUUCUGGCAAGAAUCUCGAAAGGCCCUAUGUAUCUUGGAUUUAGUUUCCCACGCUUUCCAAAGCGUAUUAAACCCUUCCACGGUGAGACCUUUAAUAAAACGUGGUCUCCUACCUGGAAUUCCAAAGGUUUCCUCCUUUGGUCAGCGUAGCUUUUCUGUCGGUCUCUAGAGGCUUUCAAUCGUUCACGAAUCUGAACGAUCUUCUCUGUCGUUUCUCGUAUGAUUUCCGGACCGGUGAGAGUGCUUUCAGGAACUCUUCCUCUAGCUAACUGGGUAUCGCCAACUUCAGUCCAACACAGAGGGGAUCUGCACUUUCGACCAUAGAGGGCUUCAAACGGAGCAGCCUUUAUGCUUGUAUGAUAACUAUUGUUGUAUGAAAAUUCGACAAGGGGUAAAUGGAUAUCCCAUGCCUUUCCAAAGUCAAUCACACAGGCUCUCAGCAUAUCUUCUAAAGUUUGUAUCGUUCUCUCACUUUGCCCGUCUGUUUGUGGGUGGUAGGCUGUACUCAUGUCUAGCCUAGUCCCCAUGGAACUUUGUAGUGACUGCAAGAAUCAUGAAGUGAAUCUACUAUCUCUAUAGGAGAUAAUGGAUAUCGGAACACCAUGCAGUCACACUACUUCCCUUAUGUAAGUUCUUGCAAGCUUUUCCAUUUUUUCAGUCUCCUUGAUGGGUAGGAAAUGCGCGGAUUUGGUCAAUCUGUCGACGAUGACCCAUAUGAUAUCGAGUCCACCCGUCGUCUUGGGUAACUUGGUUAUAAAGUCCAUAGUAAUCCGCUCCCAUUUCCAUUCUGGUAUCCCCGGUUGUUAUAGUAAUCCUGACGGUUUCUGAUACUCGACCUUAACCUUAGCGCAAGUAAGACAUUUACUCACGAAGGUAGCAAUUUCUGCUUUCAUGUUAGGCCACCAGUACAGUUUCUUAAGAUCCAGAUACAUUUUAUCUGAACCCGGGUGAACGGAAUAUCUUGAGUUGUGAGCCUCGGUCAUGACUACGUUUCUGAAACCACCAUGAUUUGGGGUCCAGAUUCGGUCCAUGAGAUAGUAGGCUCCGCCACCCUUGACUUCUAAAUUCUUCUCCAUUCCUCGCAGGGAUUCACCCGCCACAUUUUCAGGUUGCAAAGCUUCCAUUUGUGCUUCCUUAAUUUGUGUGGAUAAGUGGGAAUGGAUAGUCAUGGUCAGAGAUUUGACCCUCCGACCAGUGUAUUCCUUUCGACUGAGGGCGUCGGCUACUACGUUGGCCUUGCCAGGAUGAUAACGAAUUUCGCAUUCGUAGUCAUUCAGUAACUCAACCCAUCGUCGUUGUCGCAUGUUGAGUUCCUUCUGAUCGAAAAUGUGUUGAAGGCUCUUGUGAUCGGUGAAUAUAGUACUCUUUGUUCCGUAUAAGUAGUGCCUCCAGAUCUUCAGAGCAAAUACCACUGCUCCUAACUCGAGGUCGUGUGUCGUAUAGUUCACUUCGUGUGUCUUAAGCUGUCGGGAGGCAUAAGCGAUAACCUUCCCUCUCUGCAUAAGAACACAACCAAGUCCUUGAUUUGAAGCAUCGCAAUACACUACGAAGUCUUCUAUCCCUUCGGGGAGGGAUAGUAUCGGUGCGGUGCACAAGGCCUGCUUUAGUGUCUGGAAUGCCUUCUCUUGUUUCGCUUCCCAGUCAAAGGCCACACCUUUCUGGGUUAAUGAAGUAAGAGGUUUCGCAAUGCUCGAAAAGUUCUUUAUGAAUCUGCGAUAGUAGCCAGCUAGACCUAGAAAUUGACGAAUUUCUGUAGGUGUCUUUGGUGCCGACCAGUUCUCAAUAGCCUUAAUUUUGGAGGGGUCCACGUGUAUACCUUUCUCGCUAACAACGUGACCUAAAAAUUCGACUCUUCGAAUCCAAAAUUCGCAUUUAGAGAACUUCGCAUAGAGUUUCUCCGUUCGCAGUGUUUCUAGGACUUUUCGUAGGUGUUGACUAUGCUCUUCCUCACUUCGAGAGUAGAUAAGUAUAUCAUCGAUAAAGACGAUGACGAACUGAUCCAAGUAAGGGCGGCAUACCCUAUUCAUUAGGUCCAUAAAUACUGCUGGUGCAUUGGUUAAUCCGAACGGCAUCACCACGAAUUCGUAGUGUCCAUAACGAGUUCGGAAGGCUGUCUUUGGAAUGUCCCCCUCUAGAACUCGUAAUUGGUGAUAUCCGGAUCGCAGGUCUAUUUUGGAGAAGUAGUUCGCCCCUUGAAGUUGAUCGAAUAGGUCGUCGAUACGGGGUAGAGGAUAGCGGUUCUUGACAGUAAGUUUGUUCAGCUCUCUGUAGUCGAUGCACAUACGGAACGAUCCGUCUUUCUUCUUUACAAACAAGACCGGUGCUCCCCAAGGUGAGAAACUUGGUCUUAUGAAUCCUUUGUGAAGGAGUUCAUUAAGUUGACUGGAAAGUUCCUGCAUCUCUGCUGGUGCAAGACGAUAAGGCGACUUCGCUACUGGGGUAGCUCCUGGAAUUAAGUCGAUUCUGAACUCGACUUGGCGUUGCGGUGGUAAUCCUGGUAGUUCUUCUGGAAAGAUAUCGGGAAAGUCGCGUACUACCGAGAUGCUCUUGAUGUCCUUCAGUUCUUGACUUGUAUCGACGAUGUGCGCUAGGAAUGCUCGACAAUCCUUCCGCAAGCACUUUCGAGCUUGGAUGCACGAAAUGAUGCGAAGGUUUGCACUAGAUUUGUCGCCGUAGAUAACUAAUGUUUCGUUGUUAGGGAGGUUAAGACGGACUGCUUUCUCAAAGCACAUGAUGUCGGCGCGAAGAAGACUCAACCAAUCCAUGCCGACUAUGACGUCGAAACUUUUAAUUUGAACCGGCAUGAGAUUGAUUGGGAAAGAAUGGCCGUCUAAUGUUAACGUACAGCCCAUGUAUAUGCAAUUUGUGUUUUCGGUUUUUCCAUUGGCCAUCUCUACAGUGAAUGAUUUUUCUAACUUGCUAGGUUUAGGUUUAAGUAAAUGAAUAAAGUUUUGACUCACGAAGCUUCUCUCCGCUCCACUAUCGAAUAAUAUGCAUGCGUAUGAAUUAUCGAGAAGGAACGUACCAGCAACUAUAGUUGGGUCAGCUACAGCUUCGUCGUGGCCUAUUGCCAAAACUCGUCCCACACCUCCGGUGCCUGCUGCCUUAGGACAGUUUCUCUUGUAGUGGCCCACCUCGCCACAACCGUAGCAAGCCUGCCCUACACCCGCACCGGGAACUUGAGUGAUCGGCUUUGCGGGUUCCUUGCAGAAACGGGCUGUGUGUCCUUUCCUGCUGCAGUUGGCGCACUGCAUAUCUCGACAAGGUCCAUGGUGGUGGUAAUUGCAUUUGGUGCAUUUUGGGAGGUUGCCUAUAUAAGGCUUUGUUGGGUAGGUAUUUGUAGGGGCUGUAGCAGGUACAAUGGCAGCAUUUACUGACACCAGUUGUUUCUUUGCGGAUUCUUGGGAAGACCCACCCUUCCCUUUAAUCCACGCUCUCUUCCUGCCAUUGUUGUUGUUGUUGUUGUUGUUGUUGUUGUUGUUGUUUCCUUUCUGUGGUGCUGGUGCAGAAGUGGUUGAGUUCUGAUGACCUCCGUAGUCGAUCAGAGAUUGUGCCAGUUCCUUAGCACUUUCAAAGGUGUCAGGUUUAGAAGCUAACACGCUUGAUCGCAUUUGGGGCGUCAGUCCCCAGAUGUACCUUUCUAUCUUCUUGCUCUCGGGAGCAAUCAUAUCUGGACAAAGGAUUGCCAGUUCGCAGAAUCUGUUGGUAUAAGUAGCGAUGUCGGUACCCACCAUUCCGAGAGUCCAUAGCUCGUGUUCAAGCUUUUGAAUUUCUCCCCGUGGGCAGUAUUCUCUCAUCAUCAUGGCCUUCAAGCUCUCCCAGCUUAUGGAGUUUGCCACGAUUAGGGUAAGUACUUUAACGUGGCCAUUCCACCAAGUUAAAGCUUUAUCGAGAAGGGUGAAAGUUGCAAAUUUGACCUUGCUGUGCUCGGGGCAGGAGCAGAUUUCAAAGACUGCCUCCGUCCUUUCAAUCCACUGCCUCAGGGCCAUCACACCACCAGUACCAUAAAACAUCCGGGGCUUGGCAUUAGUGAAGUCCUUAUAGGUGCAUUCUCGAGGUGGUCCAUGACUCUCGCCAUGGUUGGAUAGGUGUGUGCCAGAUCCCGAGCCAUUAGUACUCGAGUUAUUGAUCUGUGACAUGGCAGCUGCCACCGCUGCGGUGACUGCUGCUUGAAACAUUACAGCAUCAAAUUGGGGUGGUGGAGGUGGUGGUGGUAUAGGUGCUUCCUCACCGUUGUUUCGCCUUGGAUUCCUACGCGGAGGCAUCCUUCAACUAUAGAUUGAAAAGACAAGGAUAAGAAUUUCAUAGAAUGGAAAAUGUAUGUGUCUCAUGAACUAAAUCGCUAUAGUUCAACAACAGAUGAUAGUAUGAGUCUUAAAAUAGAAGAAUGAAAGUUAUUUGUAAGACUGAAGGUAUGAAACAAGUAUUUGGGUUCACAAAGACCAUUCAAGGUUCGAACGAAAUACUCAACAUAGUAGUAAUAGUGCCACUUAUAUUAAUAUAAAAGUUGUUACAACGAUCAUGAAAAUUUGACCCCUAUAAGGGUCUCCGAUUACAAAGUUCGAGAAAUUUAAAGACUUUUAGCCGAGGUCCUAAGCUAUAACAAAAUUUGAGUCCUUGACAAGCACUACUUGCGUCGAAGGUUGCGCUUGGAGCUUGACUCCGUAUCUGAUUGCUUUGACUCCAUUAGACGCCUAUCGAAAGCGGCUUGUUGUUCCCUUAGUUCGGCGAGGGCUGCAAUCAUUUGCGCUUGAAACGCUUCGGUUUGGAAUUGAGCGUUGUCUUGCAUCUUGUCCAGCCUACGGAUGUCAGAAGUGUGAACCUGCACUUCCACGUUGAUAUCCCGGAGUCGACUAGCUUGUACUCCAGACUGAUAGGACUGAUUGGCUAACUUACCCACCAUUACCGGGAGUGCUCGAUCAGCCGAACCUCCGCCGCGGACAUCAUAGAAGUCCCGGCACAUGCCGUAGGGAGGGCGUAGGUUUUGCUGUUGGCUCCAAUGGUGGAGGUGACUUCCCCAGACGGGAGUCGGUCCUUGAAAGUUCCUUACGAAGACGGGAGGUUGAAUGGGUGGUGGAUCGAUAACUUCCGGCUCUGAGUCGGUACCGGAGUCAUCACCCACUUCUAUGGGUUCCUCGUCCUCUUCGGGAUCAUCUUCGAUCCAUCCUCCGUUGCCUUGGUUGGGAAAGUAGGGGUCGCCAGGGUGGUGAAAUCCAGCCAUUUGACUGUACGAGAAAUAGGGUUAUAAGAAUUGAAUAAAGUCGGAACAUGUAAAACAUGUAAGUUAAACUAGUUUAGAUAGCAAAUACUCCUAUAGUAUUUAAAUUCUUGUGUUUGAUUCUUGUAAUGGUUUGGUAAGUUUUGACUUGUUGCUUACUACGAUCAUUCCUCGAUAUACGUUGGUCCAAUCUUGGGCAAAUAUAGUUGAUCACGCUAUAUUUGUCCAAAAUCUGAUUACAUAUAUCGAGUCUCAAUCGUAGUGUCAACUUGUCUAAAUACUUGUAUAGUUGUAUAACAUGAAAAUAGUUUGUGGUAUGCAUGUAAUUGUACUUAAAUGAACUAUCAAUUUAAGUUGAACGAAAUGCUGCUUAAGUGUAAAAAGAAAAUUUGUUUUGUCAGAGAGUAUUAGUCCCUUAAGCAUUUAUAGUUUGUAUAUCUUAUGUGGUUCGAUAUACUUAGUUCACUAUAAACAUUGCUCUGAUACCAAUCUGUCACACCCCCAAACCUGAACGGCGGAAACGUUCGGGGGCGGAUGACUUCAUGUGGUAACGUAACAAAUGAAUACAUAGUAAAGAAAGCAAUACAACCAUCAUAUAUAUAAUUGAAAGUUUACAUUUGUCAAAAGUUACAUGUUCAAAACUCAAUUACAAUAUGAUGUCAAAAUACGAGAUUAAACUGGCGCCGCAGCAUCCCUUCAUCAAAAGCGAAAUGAAUACCUGAAAUUACUGAUUUCCUGGGACAUACAAGUAAUUUUGAAAGAGUAGAUCAGCAUUUAAGCUGGUGAAUUUCAUAAGUAUUUAAGUGACAAUGUUUGAAUGAAAUGAAAUGUUUUAUCUUUGUUUGUUUGUGUUUAGAAAAUCCUAUAUUUUCUACUAGUAUAAAAGUAGCCUUCACUCAAGACCAAUGUUUGUUUCCAAAAUGUAUGUAAAUGUAAAAUAACCAAUGAGUUUGAAAACCUUGUAAAUCAAUGCAUUUUUAAUACCCCUUGUGAGUUUUAUAACCAUACUAUUGACUCUGAAUGCCUAUACACAACGUUCUUCAGGCGUUGGAAUGUUAUGACGUUUGUCACCCCAAACGGUGGACUGCAGCUAACAGUCAGGGCGCGGGUUGUCAAGCCCGUAUAGAUCUAUACACAAACACCAUGCUCCCCCUCCAAGGGAUUCUGGUAUAUAAUACAGGACUUGAAAUGUGUACUCGAACGUACAUGAAGUUAGUGUCUCACAAAUCCGUGGUAUAAAAACAGAUCUACUUGUUAAAAUGUUACGUUUGUUCUUGUAUACGAAAGUAAACUUCUUGAAAUAUGUGUUUCUAGUACAUAAGAGUUAGAAAUCUGUUCGUAAAACUAUACCUAUUAUAGUUUCCAAAAAGCGUGUCUUGUUUGUUUAGAAAUAUUGAGAAAAGGAAUCACUUGUUUAUGAAAGUAUAGAUUUUUGGUGUAGAGUCUAGGAUAGACAAGAAAAAUCUAAGAACAGUUUAGUUUAUACAUGCAUUACAACAACAUUAUAUUUUAAAAGGUAAAAUGCUAUUGUGACAUAUGUUAUAUAUAUAUAAAAGUUCCUUUAAAUGUUUAUAAAUCGCAUGUGAUUUGAAUAUAUAACAGUAUAUAAAAGAGUUUCUUUAUGUAACACACGAUAAUACUCGUGUGUUUUACUUGUAAUCCCCCCCUUGAAAGCAUAUAAAAGUAUUUAGAAUAAUUAAAAAGGUUGAUUAAGGGGUAUGAAACUCACUUGAAAGUUUUGGAGAUAGCGAGAUGGAAAACCGGGCAGAGUUUCGUCUCGGGAAACGGAUUUUCCUCGGGAUUCUCGGGAAUCUCGGGAGUAAAAUCGACCUUCGGGACUUGAGCCAAAAAGACCAGAGCUUCGGGUUUGAACGGACACGGAAAACGAGGCAAAGUUGAGAGAGAGAGAAGAGAAAUGAACCCUUUCUUUGGAAACCCUCGCAUCCUAUUUAUAGUAAGGCUGGUCUGCCUCGGUACGCGGGGCGUACGCUCGUACGCAGCGCGUACGCGUACGUCAUGCAUGACCGAAGCCUCGACUGCCUCGGUUCGGAUGGGACGGGUUGCUGGGUACGCGGGUCGGAUGGGACGCCGGGUCGGAUGGGACGUCGGGUCGGACGGGUCGGGGCUUCGGACGGGUCGGAUGGGUCGGUUUCUUCGGAUAGCGCGACGUGGACGAUCAGAGGCCAAUCCUCUCGGUUACGCGGGGCGUACAGGGGUACGCAGCGCGUACCUCGGAGGAGGAUGCUGACUCCCCUUCGGAUAAUAUCCGAAUUUUGAAUUAAAUAAAUAAUUAAUUUAUUUAAUAAACUUCAAAAAUUCAUAUCUUCUUCAUACGAACUCCGUUUUCGAUGGUCUUUAUAUCCUCGCGUAGGUGAGACUACGCUCUACAACUUUCGUUUAGACUCCGUCGGCAAAUUCCAAAAUUAUAUUUUUAUUAUUUAUUAAAAACCCAUCGUGUUUAAGGAAUUUCUUUGAAAAUUCAUAACUUCUUUAUCUGAUGUCGGUUUUUGCCAGACUUUUUACCGCUGGAAUACCAUUGUCGAGACCUUCGAUUCUCGUUUAGGUCAUUCCGGCCAAAAGUCGCUCGAUCUCCGAUUCGAGUUUUUAGCUGUCUGUUGCUAAGCCGAACUUGGAAAAAUCAUAACUUCGCUAUAUGAAGUCGGAUUUGGGCGUUCUUUUCACGUACGAUCAUGGUUCAAAGACAUUUAAUCAUAGAAGGAAAUUAAGUAGAACUUAUUUAUACAUUUUAUUAUGAAAGUAACUUUUUAUUAUUCAGAAGUGGUUACAAUACUUGACCCAUUUUGGUCGUUACAAAGAGUUGAAAUAUCGGGUUGUCACAUCAUCCCCCCGUUAGAGAGAAUUUCGUCCCGAAAUUUAAAGUAGUAAAGAUACUAGUGAACAUGAAAGAGAUGAGGGUACUUUUGUUUCAUCUGAUCUUCGCGUUCCCAUGUGAAUUCAGGUCCCCGCUUGGCGUUCCAGCGAACCUUCACGAUGGGUAUGCGACUUUGUUUUGUUUGUUUGACCUCUCGGUCCAUGAUUUCUACUGGUUCUUCCACAAAGUUGAGGCUCUCGUUGAUCUCGAUCUCGUCGAGUGGAAUAACAAGAGUCUCGUCGGACAGACACUUUUUCAAGUUUGAGACGUGGAAGGUUGGAUGGAUGUUACUAAGUUCGCGCGGUAGGUUAAGCUUGUAAGCCACAGGGCCGAUUCUGGCAAGAAUCUCGAAAGGCCCUAUGUAUCUUGGAUUUAGUUUCCCACGCUUUCCAAAUCGUAUUAAACCCUUCCACGGUGAGACCUUUAAUAAGACGUGGUCUCCUACCUGGAAUUCCAAAGGUUUCCUCCUUUGGUCAGCGUAGCUUUUCUGUCGGUCUCUUGAGGCUUUCAAUCGUUCACGAAUCUGAACGAUCUUCUCUGUUGUUUCACGUAUGAUCUCCGGACCGGUGAGAGUGCUUUCAGGAACUCUUCCUCUAGCUAACUGGGUAUCGCCAACUUCAGUCCAGCACAGAGGGGAUCUGCACUUUCGACCAUAGAGGGCUUCAAACGGAGCAGCCUUUAUGCUUGUAUGAUAACUAUUGUUGUAUGAAAAUUCGACAAGGGGUAAAUGAAUAUCCCAUGCCUUUCCAAAGUCAAUCACACAGGCUCUCAGCAUAUCUUCUAAAGUUUGUAUUGUUCUCUCACUUUGUCCGUCUGUUUGUGGGUGGUAGGCUGUACUCAUGUCUAGCCUAGUCCCCAGGGAACUUUGUAGUGACUGCCAGAAUCUUGAAGUGAAUCUACUAUCUCGAUCGGAGAUAAUGGAUAUCGGAACACCAUGCAGUCGCACUACUUCCCUUAAGUAAGUUCUUGUAAGCUUUUCCAUUUUGUCAGUCUCCUUGAUGGGUAGGAAAUGCGCGGAUUUGGUCAAUCUGUCGACAAUGACCCAUAUGGUAUCGAGUCCACUUGUCGUCUUGGGUAACUUGGUUAUGAAGUCCAUAGUAAUCCGCUCCCAUUUCCAUUCUGGUAUCUCUGGUUGUUGUAGUAAUCCUGACGGUUUCUGAUACUCGACCUUAACCUUAGCGCAAGUAAGGCAUUUACUCACGAAGGUAGCAAUUUCUGCUUUCAUGUUAGGCCACCAGUACAGUUUCUUAAGAUCCAGAUACAUUUUAUCUGAACCCGGGUGAACGGAAUACCUUGAGUUGUGAGCUUCGGUCAUGACUACGUUUCUGAAACCACCAUGUUUCGGGGUCCAGAUUCGGUCCAUGAGAUAGUAGGCUCCGCCACCCUUGACUUCUAGAUUCUUUUCCAUUCCUCGCAGGGAUUCACCCGCCACAUUUUCAGGUUGCAAAGCUUCCAUUUGUGCCUCCUUAAUUUGUGUGGAU